RNAcentral lists this long non-coding RNA (1528 nucleotides) under Homo sapiens (human). Its description in RNAcentral is "HSALNT0390416". The record is from RNAcentral. Lineage: Eukaryota; Metazoa; Chordata; Mammalia; Primates; Hominidae.
GUUCUGGAACCAGAUCUUGAUCUGGCGCUCGGACAGGCAGAGUGCGUGGGCGAUCUCGAUGCGCCGUCGCCGGGUCAGGUUGCUUGUCUGGAGAUGGAGCCACUACAGGCGGGCCUGGGCGCCUGGAGUCGGGCAUGAAAGAAAAUAGCGCCUCAUCGCUCUUAUCUAAGCCCAGAGGUCCAGGGGACAACCUGAGGGCCCUGAAGUGUUUCAAUACCAUGUACCAGCUUGACUUCUCUACAUGUCCUUUGGAUUGCCCAAAAGCAAAAUCUCAGAGGGGCCAAGGACCUUCUAGGGCUGGCUCCCUCAGGGCCUCCUAUAGAGCAGCUCCUUGAGUCGGGCCUUAUAGCCACCAGAAAGUCACCUCGCCGCAGGAAAGCUAUAAAGAGCUGCUCCAGAGGCGCCGAAAGAGGGUGAGGGCUGCAGCCACAGUGUUUGUCCCCAGCACCACCAGGCCCCUUAACCUCGUCAGCUCCUCUAGCCCUCGGCCAGACUCUGGCAACACCUUGGUUUGCCUGGCACCGCAGGCAAUUUCCUGGAACCCCACCCCCACCCAGGAACGGGGACCACAGCACCUUUAAAGGAACUGCCAGAGCUUCCUCCUACGGCUUGAAAGCCCAAGCUAAUCAGUAACCCGUGAGACAGGGGCCAAUAUUCAAACGCUGCAGCAGAGGCGCAUAGCCUAGCCCUGGCCACCCCCUCUUGGGAAGGAGGUCGAGUUAAGCCGGUGUGGAGGGUCCAACAGGAACGGAAAUUACGACGGUGUGGUUCCUUAAGGAUUUGGCCCCAGUCCCACUACCAAAUUUUUCCCAAAUCAUAUUUAGGUAGACUUCGCUUGAAAAGAUCGAGAAUGGAGGAGGGGAUCGGCACUCACUUGCAGACAUCAACAGUUUCCAGAAAAUUCGGUUCAAUUCCUUCACCACGGACCCACCAACCAAGGAGCUGGCAAAACCCACUAACCAACCAGGAGAACACAGACCCGGUUUGUCUUUUGACAACCGAGUGGAACUGACGGGGCCGGCGCCUGCCCUGCGGGUCCCCUCCCUUGGCUGAGAAGAAAACCAAAUAAACCUUGAACAGCCUUGGCUUCGGAUGUCUCAAGCGGCCUCAUCCUCUCCCGCGCCUUGCCGUUUCCUCUCCCUCGCCGGCCUCGGCGGAGAUUCCAGGCCCUAUAGAAACCAGGACGUCCCUUAGCGCCACCGCCUCACAUGCCAGUGCUGCCGGGAACCCAGCGAUAUCCGCACCAGCGGAGAAGGUUCCAGGCUGCCGGCGGCGGCGCAGAGAGCGGGAAGAGAGGCUCGGAGGAAGCCCCGGGCGUGGCGUGGUCAGGCUCCGAGAGCGGCCGGGAUGCGGCCACACCGGCCUGGUAAACUCGCACCUCUUAGGAUCUUGCUCCCGGACUCAUUCCCUUCCCCACCCCCUAUUUUAAAGUUUUAUUUGGGUCGUCUGUAUCAAUUUAGAACGAGAUAAAUUAAGACAAAGAAAGUAAAAUAAAUCGAAAUAAAAUAUAGGAAUAGCUCUUGGCGAA